This is a small nuclear RNA of Phyllostomus hastatus (greater spear-nosed bat), 104 nucleotides long. Lineage: Eukaryota; Metazoa; Chordata; Mammalia; Chiroptera; Phyllostomidae. The record is from RefSeq and is a predicted model, not a curated record.
GUGUUCUUUGGCAGCACAUACACUAAAAUUGGACCAAUAUAGAGAAGAUUAGCAUGGCCCUAUGCAAGGAUGACAUGCAAAUUUGUAAAGCAUUCUAUAUUUUU